UACGUAGGUGGCUAGCGUUGUCCGGAUUUACUGGGCGUAAAGAGCUCGUAGGUGGUUUGUCGCGUUGUUCGUGAAAUCCCACGGCUUAACUGUGGGCGUGCGGGCGAUACGGGCAGACUGGAGUACUGCAGGGGAGACUGAAAUUCCUGGUGUAGCGGUGGAAUGCGCAGAUAUCAGGAGGAACACCGGUGGCGAAGGCGGGUCUCUGGGCAGUAACUGACGCUGAGGAGCGAAAGCGUGGGGAGCGAACAGG
RNAcentral lists this ribosomal RNA (253 nucleotides) under uncultured bacterium. Its description in RNAcentral is "partial 16S ribosomal RNA". It matches the Rfam family "Bacterial small subunit ribosomal RNA", at positions 524 to 776 of the family's 1533-position model. The record is from RNAcentral.